GGAGGGUGCUUUCCUAGCCGUUCCAAGCUUUUCAGACAUGACGUAUAUGCGCAUAGGAAGGAAGAUGAAGUAGUUAACAGUGCUAACAGAAAACUAGAUGUUCUAGAAGAAAACUGCUUGCUUAAGGAAUUGAGAGCACAGUGGGUCCUGAUCCUUAGCUGAGGCAGUGAUGGGUACCUUGAAGACUUAAGAAUGGCCAUAAGAUCAGAUUCGG
Lagopus leucura (white-tailed ptarmigan) is the source of this 214-nucleotide long non-coding RNA. RefSeq lists it as uncharacterized. The record is from RefSeq and is a predicted model, not a curated record. The transcript is spliced from 3 exons. NCBI's taxonomy places the organism in Eukaryota, Metazoa, Chordata, Aves, Galliformes, Phasianidae.